This 472-nucleotide ribosomal RNA is filed under the name uncultured bacterium. Its description in RNAcentral is "bacterial SSU rRNA". It matches the Rfam family "Bacterial small subunit ribosomal RNA", at positions 775 to 1223 of the family's 1533-position model. The record is from RNAcentral.
GGAUUAGAUACCCCAGUAGUCCUAGCCGUAAACGAUGGAUACUAGGUGUUGUCUGUAUCGACCCGGACAGUGCCGUAGCUAACGCAUUAAGUGCCCCGCCUGGGGAGUACGGCCGCAAGGCUAAAAACUCAAAGGAAUUGACGGGGGCCCGCACAAGCAGCGGAGCAUGUUGCUUAAUCGAGGCAACGCGAAGAACUUUACCGUGGGUUUGACAUGUAGAGAAAAGCCGUAGAGAUACGGUGUCCUUCGGGUCGUACACGAGGUGGUGCAGUGGUUGUCGUCAGCUCGUGUCGUGAGAAGUGUUAGGGUUAAGUCCGCAACGAGCGCAAACCCUUGUCCUAGUGUUCGCCAGCACGUUAGUCGGUGGGGAACCGUACGUAGGAGACGUGCCGGGGUCAACGUCGGAGGAAGGUGGGGACGACGUCGAAAUCGAUACACUCGCCCCUUAUACGUCCGAGGGUCUGACAAACCG